This 1030-nucleotide long non-coding RNA is filed under the name Marmota monax (woodchuck). The record is from RNAcentral. Lineage: Eukaryota; Metazoa; Chordata; Mammalia; Rodentia; Sciuridae.
GGAAGUCAAAGCACAUGGCUUUAUCCUAAGUGUCACCAGGCCCUGGGAGAUGAAGGAAGAGAGAGGGAGAUACUGUAGACCUGUCUGUACCUCUUGUACCAAUCAAGCAACAGUGGCCUAAACAGAGGGAUGGGUGGGGGCAGAAGCAAUCCUGCAUUCACUUGCUCCCAUUUCUAGUUAGAACUGAACCCACCCUGGGCCUGAAGGGACACCCCUGCACAAAAGGAAGACCUCAGAGCAGGUUACCUGGGGUCAGACAGCCUGACUGUGGCCAAACCAUAAGAUAGAGGAAAAAGAAAUGCCCAGAGACCUUCCAGCUUGGCAGCAAAGGAGAGGGUGCUGAAUGUGGAGAGGUUUCCAUGCGUGGACAAGUGAGGACCCCCUGUUCUUCCUCCCAGCUCUCUCAGCCUCCGAGGUGGCCUUGCCUAAGACGGCUCUCAUCUGGUGACUCAACUUGCCCUGCUGCUUUGGUAUGAAGCAGGCAUCACAGUGGCUUAUUAUUGUUCCCACGGGUCACCCUUCAUUCAUCUGACUCAGACAGACAAAAGGACCUUUGCCUCCUUCUCCCUUCUUUCUCUUUGUCCUGCAUCCUGCCUGAUUUUCAGGGUGUAGAGCUGAGCAUCUAACAGGUAGACUGUGAUUCUACCUAUCAGCCCGACCCCUUAUAAGAGGUGGAGAGUGGCCCAGCAAUGGUGGAGAAAGGGAUUCUUUUUGUUUCUUGAACUUCACCAAAUAAGGAGAGGAGGACCAGAAAGCCACGGUGAUUAGAUUAUAUGGAAGAGGGUCAAAGAUUAAAAAUCCACUGCCGCUCAUUAUUAGAAGAGGGAUGACAGAUUCAGACCAGAGCACAAAAGAAAAUACAUUAUUUCAAAACAGGAUAUGAAACCCAGUCCCAGGCGAUUAGUCUCUGUUAAGUAAAUUUACUAUCUAAUCUUUUAACUGUCUCCCGAAAUUGCCAGUCCAAGAUUCCCCCCCUCAGCUGGAAGCUUAACCUCGGGGGUGCUGUCAUCUGCCCUGAGCUCUACCAGCC